GGGGCUGUGGCUCAGUGGUAGAGCUUCCGCUUGGCACAGAGAAGGUCUCUGGUUCAAUCCCUGGCAUCUCCA
This 72-nucleotide transfer RNA is filed under the name Sphaerodactylus townsendi. RNAcentral describes it as "tRNA-Ala". It matches the Rfam family "tRNA". Rfam says of the family: Transfer RNA (tRNA) molecules are approximately 80 nucleotides in length. Their secondary structure includes four short double-helical elements and three loops (D, anti-codon, and T loops). Further hydrogen bonds mediate the characteristic L-shaped molecular structure. tRNAs have two regions of fundamental functional importance: the anti-codon, which is responsible for specific mRNA codon recognition, and the 3' end, to which the tRNAs corresponding amino acid is attached (by aminoacyl-tRNA synthetases). tRNAs cope with the degeneracy of the genetic code in two manners: having more than one tRNA (with a specific anti-codon) for a particular amino acid; and 'wobble' base-pairing, i.e. permitting non-standard base-pairing at the 3rd anti-codon position. Lineage: Eukaryota; Metazoa; Chordata; Lepidosauria; Squamata; Sphaerodactylidae. The record is from RNAcentral.